GACGGAGGAGGCUAGCGUUGUUCGGAAUUACUGGGCGUAAAGCGCACGUAGGCGGUUGCGUAAGUUGGGGGUGAAAUCCCGGGGCUCAACCCUGGAAUUGCCUCCAAGACUGCGCGGCUUGAGUAUGGAAGAGGAGAGUGGAAUUCCCAGUGUAGAGGUGAAAUUCGUAGAUAUUGGGAAGAACACCAGUGGCGAAGGCGACUCUCUGGUCCAUUACUGACGCUGAGGUGCGAAAGCGUGGGGAGCAAACAGG
This 253-nucleotide ribosomal RNA is filed under the name uncultured bacterium. RNAcentral's name for it is "partial 16S ribosomal RNA". It matches the Rfam family "Bacterial small subunit ribosomal RNA", at positions 524 to 776 of the family's 1533-position model. The record is from RNAcentral.